CCCGGCAAGGAAACGGAGGAGGUAGCACUUCUCCUGCUUGGUGCAUGCGGUGGUGGGGGAGGCCAAGAUGAGCAGCACGAAGAGCUGCAGCACGGCCGUAGGAACGUUGAAGAAAUGCAUUGGUUAGUGUUUUCUCCUACCUUCUUUUUUGCUGUUGCUUGAGAAUGCAUAUGCAGUGCUCGUGCUAUUUAUCAUCUAGCAGUAGCUUUAUCCUUUGCAUCAGAGCUACUGAACACCAUUCAUAACACCAUGUCAUGUCAUGGGUGCCGUGCAGCUUAGGGCCCUUGGCCAUGAUCGGCUGGUGCACAAAAGACUGUAGUACUAGCGUGGGAAAGCUACAUCCGUGCCCAUCAAUUACUAUUAGCCAUAACAAAACGCCAUCAACUAGUUUAUAAAGCUCUCUUCUACUCUCUCUGUAAAGAAAUAUAAGAGCGUUUGGAUCACUAGCGUUUAGAUCACUAAACUAGUGAUCCAAACGCUCUUAUAUUUCUUUACAGAGGAAGUACUUGUGUAUGGAUUAAAUAGUUACUGAAUAGAUUGAGGUUAGGCAUUGUAUCCAAAAUAUUCAAGUAACAGGAAAUCAAUCUGUCAUCUACCAGCCCCAAGGUUCACGCUUAUUAUGUUUACAUGGCUGAAAAAUAUAUAGGAGAGCAAGGUUCAUUGCUAGUUAGCUUAUCUUAAAUGAUCUAUUUAUUGCGUUACGACCCAAUAGUACAUAUGCUAGUGGCAGGCUGCCAUCGAUAGCCUGCCCCCUGGGGUACCCUAGUUUACUGGGAAUUUGCUCACCCUACUGUUGGUAUACUUGAGUAUGAUAGGUACGGACCGUACCCAAAGAUACCAGGCCACAUGGGCUGGAUUUCUUUUGAUUUGAUAAAUAAUGCAGAAUGGUACCAGUUACACCACAUGAUUUGUUUUCCAUGCUUUAAUGCAGAAGCAAGUUAGAUUCUGGAAAUGAGAGUCAAAUGGUCGAUCAGAGAGGUGUGUAUCUUGCGUAGUUUCUUGGUUGAGCCUGAUAAAAUCAGAGUCAAAUGGAAAUUUCUUCUUACUUCAUGGUUGUUUCUUGCAUGAUGGGAAGAGUUCAGUUAGGUUUCCUCUUCUCAGUUCAUGCUUGAGCCGUUUUCCUCCAUGCUCGCUUUUGGUAGUUAGUAGAGUACUGGAGGUAUUUGUGUUUCAAUAGAAUCUCCUGAGAAGGUACAUACCUAAAUGCUUUAUCUAAUUCAUGCUUUGCAGAACAUUUUGUGAACUUGUGUUUGAUGUCUAUGAAAUAUAUUCUGCUUGAUAAUUAUACAAAU
RNAcentral lists this long non-coding RNA (1292 nucleotides) under Triticum aestivum (bread wheat). RNAcentral describes it as "long non-coding RNA (TAES_LNC013082)". The record is from RNAcentral. Lineage: Eukaryota; Viridiplantae; Streptophyta; Magnoliopsida; Poales; Poaceae.